RNAcentral lists this small nuclear RNA (122 nucleotides) under Canis lupus familiaris (dog). RNAcentral describes it as "U4 spliceosomal RNA (ENSCAFG00000022586.3, ENSCAFG00040010164.1, ENSCAFG00805027996.1, ENSCAFG00845009876.1)". The stretch from base 1 to 68 matches the Rfam family "U4 spliceosomal RNA". Rfam says of the family: U4 small nuclear RNA (U4 snRNA) is a component of the major U2-dependent spliceosome. The structure of U4 snRNA from yeast and human has been reported. The record is from RNAcentral. Lineage: Eukaryota; Metazoa; Chordata; Mammalia; Carnivora; Canidae.
AGCUUUGUGCAGUGGCAGUAUCAUAGCCUAUGAGGUUUAUCUGAGGCAUGAUUGUUGCUAAUUGUUAAGGAAAGGUUGCUCAAUGCAUUUCCUGUCAAAAUCAUUCCUAUUACCUCAGGGAU